This 317-nucleotide ribosomal RNA is filed under the name uncultured bacterium. RNAcentral's name for it is "bacterial SSU rRNA". It matches the Rfam family "Bacterial small subunit ribosomal RNA", at positions 28 to 334 of the family's 1533-position model. The record is from RNAcentral.
GACGAACGCUAGCUACAGGCUUAACACAUGCAAGUCGCGGGGCAGCAUGAGGGUUGCUUGCAAUUCUUGAUGGCGACCGGCGUACGGGUGAGUAACGCGUGAGGAACCUGCCUCAAAGAGGGGGACAACAGUUGGAAACGACUGCUAAUACCGCAUAAGCCCACAGCUCGGCAUCGAGCAGAGGGAAAAGGAGUGAUCCGCUUUGAGAUGGCCUCGCGUCCGAUUAGCUGGUUGGUGAGGUAACGGCCCACCAAGGCGACGAUCGGUAGCCGGACUGAGAGGUUGAACGGCCACAUUGGGACUGAGACACGGCCCAG